Cydia pomonella (codling moth) is the source of this 73-nucleotide non-coding RNA. Lineage: Eukaryota; Metazoa; Arthropoda; Insecta; Lepidoptera; Tortricidae. The record is from the annotation of a RefSeq genome assembly.
GUGUUGGUAGCUCAGAUGGCAGAGCACUGUAAUAGUAAUCCAGUGGUCGUGGGUUCAAAUCCCACCCAAGACA